UACGGAGGGUCCAAGCGUUAUCCGGAAUCAUUGGGUUUAAAGGGUUCGCAGGCGGUCUAAUAAGUCAGUGGUGAAAUCCUACAGCUCAACUGUAGAACUGCCAUUGAUACUGUUAGACUUGAAUAUAGUUGGAGUAGGCGGAAUGUGUAGUGUAGCGGUGAAAAUGCUUAGAUAUUACACAGAACACCGAUAGCGAAGGC
Molecule: ribosomal RNA, 200 nt
Filed under: uncultured bacterium
Lineage: Bacteria
Description: partial 16S ribosomal RNA
Rfam family: Bacterial small subunit ribosomal RNA
Source: RNAcentral